UACAGAGGUGGCAAGCGUUGUUCGGAAUUACUGGGCGUAAAGGGCGCGUAGGCGGCCAUCUAAGUCAGACGUGAAAUCCCCCGGCUUAACCUGGGAAUGGCAUUUGGGACUGCAAGGCUGGAGUGUGGCAGAGGAGACUGGAAUUCCUGGUGUAGCAGUGAAAUGCGUAGAGAUGUGGAGGAACACCGAUGGCGAAGGCAGCCCCCUGGGCUAACACUGACGCUCAUGCACGAAAGCGUGGGGAGCAAACAGG
Molecule: ribosomal RNA, 253 nt
Filed under: uncultured bacterium
Lineage: Bacteria
Description: partial 16S ribosomal RNA
Rfam family: Bacterial small subunit ribosomal RNA
Source: RNAcentral